Molecule: ribosomal RNA, 1509 nt
Filed under: Helicobacter pylori
Lineage: Bacteria; Pseudomonadati; Campylobacterota; Epsilonproteobacteria; Campylobacterales; Helicobacteraceae
Description: bacterial SSU rRNA
Rfam family: Bacterial small subunit ribosomal RNA
Source: RNAcentral
UUUAUGGAGAGUUUGAUCCUGGCUCAGAGUGAACGCUGGCGGCGUGCCUAAUACAUGCAAGUCGAACGAUGAAGCUUCUAGCUUGCUAGAAUGCUGAUUAGUGGCGCACGGGUGAGUAACGCAUAGGUUAUGUGCCUCUUAGUUUGGGAUAGCCAUUGGAAACGAUGAUUAAUACCAGAUACUCCCUACGGGGGAAAGAUUUAUCGCUAAGAGAUCAGCCUAUGUCCUAUCAGCUUGUUGGUAAGGUAAUGGCUUACCAAGGCUAUGACGGGUAUCCGGCCUGAGAGGGUGAACGGACACACUGGAACUGAGACACGGUCCAGACUCCUACGGGAGGCAGCAGUAGGGAAUAUUGCUCAAUGGGGGAAACCCUGAAGCAGCAACGCCGCGUGGAGGAUGAAGGUUUUAGGAUUGUAAACUCCUUUUGUUAGAGAAGAUAAUGACGGUAUCUAACGAAUAAGCACCGGCUAACUCCGUGCCAGCAGCCGCGGUAAUACGGAGGGUGCAAGCGUUACUCGGAAUCACUGGGCGUAAAGAGCGCGUAGGCGGGAUAGUCAGUCAGGUGUGAAAUCCUAUGGCUUAACCAUAGAACUGCAUUUGAAACUACUAUUCUAGAGUGUGGGAGAGGUAGGUGGAAUUCUUGGUGUAGGGGUAAAAUCCGUAGAGAUCAAGAGGAAUACUCAUUGCGAAGGCGACCUGCUGGAACAUUACUGACGCUGAUUGCGCGAAAGCGUGGGGAGCAAACAGGAUUAGAUACCCUGGUAGUCCACGCCCUAAACGAUGGAUGCUAGUUGUUGGAGGGCUUAGUCUCUCCAGUAAUGCAGCUAACGCAUUAAGCAUCCCGCCUGGGGAGUACGGUCGCAAGAUUAAAACUCAAAGGAAUAGACGGGGACCCGCACAAGCGGUGGAGCAUGUGGUUUAAUUCGAAGAUACACGAAGAACCUUACCUAGGCUUGACAUUGAGAGAAUCCGCUAGAAAUAGUGGAGUGUCUGGCUUGCCAGACCUUGAAAACAGGUGCUGCACGGCUGUCGUCAGCUCGUGUCGUGAGAUGUUGGGUUAAGUCCCGCAACGAGCGCAACCCCCUUUCUUAGUUGCUAACAGGUCAUGCUGAGAACUCUAAGGAUACUGCCUCCGUAAGGAGGAGGAAGGUGGGGACGACGUCAAGUCAUCAUGGCCCUUACGCCUAGGGCUACACACGUGCUACAAUGGGGUGCACAAAGAGAAGCAAUACUGCGAAGUGGAGCCAAUCUUCAAAACACCUCUCAGUUCGGAUUGUAGGCUGCAACUCGCCUGCAUGAAGCUGGAAUCGCUAGUAAUCGCAAAUCAGCCAUGUUGCGGUGAAUACGUUCCCGGGUCUUGUACUCACCGCCCGUCACACCAUGGGAGUUGUGUUUGCCUUAAGUCAGGAUGCUAAAUUGGCUACUGCCCACGGCACACACAGCGACUGGGGUGAAGUCGUAACAAGGUAACCGUAGGUGAACCUGCGGUUGGAUCACCUCCUUUCUAGA